GAUGAAGAACGUAGCGAAAUGCGAUAAGUAAUGUGAAUUGCAGAAUUCAGUGAAUCAUCGAAUCUUUGAACGCACCUUGCGCCCUUUGGCCAUUCCGAAGGGCAUGCCUGUUUGAGUAUCAUGAACACCUCAACUCUCAUGGCUUGCCAUGAUGAGCUUGGACUUUGGGGGUCUUGCUGGCCUGUGGUCGGCUCCUCUCAAAUGAAUCAGCUUGCCAGUGUUUGGUGGCAUCACAAGUGUGAUAACUAUCUGCGCUCGUGGUUUCCAUCAGAUAACCUCCAGUGAUGGAGGUUCGCUGGAGCUCAUAAAUGUCUCUCCUAAGCGAGGACAGCUCUUUUAAUGUUUGAUCUCAAAUCAGGUAGGACUACCCGCUGAACUUAAGCAUAUCAAUAAGCGGAGGA
RNAcentral lists this unclassified non-coding RNA (401 nucleotides) under soil metagenome. RNAcentral's name for it is "partial contains 5.8S ribosomal RNA, internal transcribed spacer 2, and large subunit ribosomal RNA". The stretch from base 1 to 121 matches the Rfam family "5.8S ribosomal RNA", at positions 35 to 154 of the family's 154-position model. The record is from RNAcentral.